This 458-nucleotide ribosomal RNA is filed under the name uncultured bacterium. RNAcentral's name for it is "bacterial SSU rRNA". It matches the Rfam family "Bacterial small subunit ribosomal RNA", at positions 64 to 507 of the family's 1533-position model. The record is from RNAcentral.
GAAACCGAAAGUCCGCAAGGACAAGUAGAGUGCAAACGGGUGAGUAACGCGUGGUGACUGCCUUCGAGCGGGGAUAACGUUCCGAAAGGAACGCUAAUACCGCACGAUAUCCCGCUGUUGAAGCGGCGGAGAUCAAAGCUGGGGAUCGCAAGACCCAGCACUCGAAGAGGGGCCCGCGUCCGAUUAGCUAGUUGGUGGGGUAACGGCUCACCAAGGCGACGAUCGUUAGCCGGCCUGAGAGGGCGGACGGCCACACUGGGACUGAGACACGGCCCAGACUCCUACGGGAGGCAGCAGUGGGGAAUUGUUCGCAAUGGGCGCAAGCCUGACGACGCAACGCCGCGUGGAGGAUGAAGAUCUUCGGGUCGUAAACUCCUUUCGAUCGAGACGAAUUCUCCGGGGAUGAACAGUCUCCGGGGGUGACGGUACCGAGAGAAGAAGCCCCGGCUAACUCCGUG